CCUACGGGAGGCAGCAGUGAGGAAUAUUGGUCAAUGGGCGCUAGCCUGAACCAGCCAAGCAGCGUGAAGGAUGAAUGCCCUAUGGAUUGUAAACUUCUUUUGUAUGGGAAUAAAGUGAAGCUUGUAUACCUCUUUGCAUGUACCUUAUGAAUAAGGAUCGGCUAACUCCGUGCCAGCAGCCGCGGUAAUACGGAGGAUCCGAGCGUUAUCCGGAUUUAUUGGGUUUAAAGGGUGCGUAGGCGGGUUGUUAAGUCAGUGGUGAAAGUUUGCGGCUCAACCGUAAAAUUGCAGUUGAUACUGGCAGCCUUGAGAAGAGUAGAGGUAGGCGGAAUGCGUGGUGUAGCGGUGAAAUGCUUAGAUAUCGCGAAGAACUCCGAUUGCGAAGGCAGCCUGCUGGACGGUAACUGACGCUGAUGCACGAAAGUGUGGGUAUCGAACAGGAUUAGAUACCCGGGUAGUC
This 460-nucleotide ribosomal RNA is filed under the name uncultured bacterium. RNAcentral's name for it is "partial 16S ribosomal RNA". It matches the Rfam family "Bacterial small subunit ribosomal RNA", at positions 338 to 795 of the family's 1533-position model. The record is from RNAcentral.